GACGAACGCUGGCGGCGUGCUUAACACAUGCAAGUCGAACGGUGAAGCGCCUUCCUUUUUGGUGGGUGUGGAUGAGUGGCGAACGGGUGAGUAACACGUGAGUAACCUGCCCCCUUCUUCUGGAUAACCGCAUGAAAGUGUGGCUAAUACGGGAUAUUCUGGGUCUGUCGCAUGAUGGGUCUGGGAAAGAUAUUGUUUCGGUGGGGGAUGGGCUCGCGGCCUAUCAGCUUGUUGGUGGGGUGAUGGCCUACCAAGGCGGUGACGGGUAGCCGGCCUGAGAGGGUGGACGGUCACACUGGGACGGAGACACGGCCCAGACUCCUACGGGAGGCAGCAGUGGGGAAUAUUGCACAAUGGGCGCAAGCCUGAUGCAGCGACGCCGCGUGAGGGAUGGAGGCCUUCGGGUUGUGAACCUCUUUCGCCAGUGAGGCAGGCCUGCCUCGUUUGUGGGUGGGUUGACGGUAGCUGGAGAAGAAGCGCCGGCUAACUACGUG
Molecule: ribosomal RNA, 494 nt
Filed under: uncultured bacterium
Lineage: Bacteria
Description: partial 16S ribosomal RNA
Rfam family: Bacterial small subunit ribosomal RNA
Source: RNAcentral